Molecule: ribosomal RNA, 384 nt
Filed under: uncultured bacterium
Lineage: Bacteria
Description: bacterial SSU rRNA
Rfam family: Bacterial small subunit ribosomal RNA
Source: RNAcentral
AUUGAACGCUGGCGGCGUGCCUAACACAUGCAAGUCGAGCGGUAACAGGUGUAGCAAUACAUGCUGACGAGCGGCGGACGGGUGAGUAACGCUUGGGAAUCUGCCUAUUAGUGGGGGACAACCCGGGGAAACGUCGGGCUAAUACCGCAUACGCUCUACGGAGGAAAGCCGGGGACCGCAAGGCCUGGCGCUAAUAGAUGAGCCCAAGUCGGAUUAGCUAGUUGGUAGGGUAANGGCCUACCAAGGCGACGAUCCGUAACUGGUCUGAGAGGACGACAGUCACACCGGAACUGAGACACGGUCCGGACUCCUACGGGAGGCAGCAGUGGGGAAUAUUGGACAAUGGGCGAAAGCCUGAUCCAGCGACGCCGCGUGGGUGAAGAA